This is a long non-coding RNA of Myotis myotis, 525 nucleotides long. RefSeq lists it as uncharacterized. NCBI's taxonomy places the organism in Eukaryota, Metazoa, Chordata, Mammalia, Chiroptera, Vespertilionidae. The transcript is spliced from 2 exons. The record is from RefSeq and is a predicted model, not a curated record.
CUCUGUGAAACUCUGGGAAGACCUGGCUCCGAAGCACCAAGAAGCGAACCGCAGAGCUGGAAAGCACCCUAGGCCUCACGGAGGCAAAACCUUGGCUGACGGAUGGGGCAAAAUGAGACAAGAGGAAAAGUAACUUGCUCAAGUCCACUCAGCCAGCGAACAGAGCCGGAGCCGGGGUCUCCUCUCCCCGCGGCCCCUCUCCUCUCCAGCGAGGCGGCUUCUCAAGGGUUCUUUGAAAUACUUUCUUGGGCAAGUUGCACCCUCUACCCUGUGUACCUCUCUCUUGUGGAAACUGUCAACCGGAUAACAGGACCACCUUAAAGCUUAUGUAAGGUAGGAAAUGGAAAGUGCUUACUUAACAUAGUCCUAGCAUAGUAGGGACUCAAAAUGUGUAUUCAUGCUCAACCAGUAUUACUCAGUUGGUUGAGAGUCCUGCCAAAAGGUCGCUAGUUGGAUCCCCAGUAAGGGGCAAGCAGGAGGCACCCAAAGGAUUUUCUCUCUCUCUCUCUCCCCCUUCCUCUCUCU